RNAcentral lists this ribosomal RNA (465 nucleotides) under Vreelandella stevensii. Its description in RNAcentral is "partial 16S ribosomal RNA". It matches the Rfam family "Bacterial small subunit ribosomal RNA", at positions 338 to 795 of the family's 1533-position model. Lineage: Bacteria; Pseudomonadati; Pseudomonadota; Gammaproteobacteria; Oceanospirillales; Halomonadaceae. The record is from RNAcentral.
CCUACGUGAGGCUGCAGUGGGGAAUAUUGGACAAUGGGCGAAAGCCUGAUCCAGCCAUGCCGCGUGUGUGAAGAAGGCCUUCGGGUUGUAAAGCACUUUCAGUGGGGAAGAAAGCCUUGGGGCUAAUACCCUCGAGGAAGGACAUCACCCACAGAAGAAGCACCGGCUAACUCCGUGCCAGCAGCCGCGGUAAUACGGAGGGUGCGAGCGUUAAUCGGAAUUACUGGGCGUAAAGCGCGCGUAGGCGGUCUGAUAAGCCGGUUGUGAAAGCCCCGGGCUCAACCUGGGAACGGCAUCCGGAACUGUCAGGCUAGAGUGCAGGAGAGGAAGGUAGAAUUCCCGGUGUAGCGGUGAAAUGCGUAGAGAUCGGGAGGAAUACCAGUGGCGAAGGCGGCCUUCUGGACUGACACUGACGCUGAGGUGCGAAAGCGUGGGUAGCAAACAGGAUUAGAUACCCCGGUAGUC